Non-coding RNA from Salmo salar (Atlantic salmon), 2187 nucleotides. Lineage: Eukaryota; Metazoa; Chordata; Actinopteri; Salmoniformes; Salmonidae. The record is from RefSeq and is a predicted model, not a curated record.
GUGACAUAGUAAUGAAAUCGGAAUCAAUCUUACCAAUCUUACCAAUCAAGUUUGGAAGCAUAUAUAUGGAGCUUUGCCACAGAACAAUCACUACCAUUUCUGAACAUGGAGGAACAUCACAACACUGAACAGCAGCUACAUGCUGGUGGAAGAGAAAGAAGAAGUGUAAGAAUGUGUGGUGGUGGUGUUACUGGGGAAGACAUAAUAGAGGAAGAGGUAGAAGGCAAAGAAUAAAAGUCCCUGAUGAAAUCAGAGCCAUAAUUGUGGACCAUGUCAUAAACCACAGUCUUACAAUGGAAGGGGCUGGUCGGAGAGUACAGCCUAAUGUAAACAGGUCCACAGUGUCAUCAAUUGUGCAAACAUUCCAUAGGGAAAACAGGACAACGACCUCAUGCUGGUGGCAGAGCAGCAGUAUUCAGCCAUCAGCCAGAACAAGAAAUCUGCAACAUGGUCAUAGCCAACAAUUCCAUCAGGCUAAGAGAUCCAAAGUGCAAUCAUAAAUGACGACAAUAUCUUCGCAAAUAUCAAUUCUGUCAGCAUUUCCACUAUAGACAGAGUUUUGUAAAAAAUCUAAUGACUAUGAAACAACUCUACAAGGUGCUAUUUGAGAGGAAUAGUGAAGGAGCUGCGGUACCAGUAUUCUGGUUCUGCUUUUCUUUUCUUAGUCAACCUUGUGUUCUGUUUCUUUGUGUUCUGGAAUGUAGCCCUGUCUUUCAUUUUUGUUCAUUGAUUUAACCUGUGUUCGUUUCUCACCUGGUCUCAUCAGCUUCCUGUUGAGUUCAGUUCUUUCGGUUUGUAUUGGUUGUGAGGUAUUGUGUUUUUGAUUACCUACCUGUGUUUGUCCAUUGCCUGCCUGUGACGACAAUUCCUACCUUCUGCGACAGCUUAAUAAACAUCUGCUGCGCCCUGCGCGUGAAUCUACACCUUUUUCUCCCUGAGUUUUCAUUACAAGUGUGUCCAGAGAAUAACGGAGCUGGAAGGACAUGACGUGACCCACAUUCUUGUUUUUGUGGACGAGGCUGGGUUCAAUCUGGCCAAAGGCAGGAGAUGUGGCCGCAAACUCAUUGGAUACCGCGCCAGAAUUGGCACACCAGGCCAACGUGGGUGCAGUAUUACGUGUGCUGCCAUUUCUGAGAAUGGUGUGAGCACACAUUCCACACAUUGGGCUCUAUAACACCCAACUUCUCCUGGGCUUCCUAAAUACACUUUACAGAGACCUAAUGCCAGAACAACAAAGAGGUUUAGUUAGACUGUAUUUGGCAAAUUCUGUAAUUGUGUGGGAUAAUGACAGCUUCCACCGACCCAACAGUGUUCGGGAAUGGUCUGCUGCGCAUGAAAGAAUAACAAUGGAGUUCCUUCCACCAUCCUCCCCAUUCCUGAAUCCGAUCGUUUUUGUUCAGCAUGGAGGUGGGAAGUGUAUAACAAUCUGGCACAAGGUUAGAUACAAUGAAUGCUGCUUGUGAGGACAUUGCAGGGGAUGGUUGAGCCACGCAAGGAGAUUACAAUUAAUUUUUUUCCCCCCUGGUGCAUCGCAAGGGAAAACAGAUGUGAUGUUGACCAAUCUCUGGCCAGACCAACAAGAGCGACAGGCUGUCCACCAAGAAGAUGGGAACUUGUAGUGUUACGUACUGUGAGGAGGUACAAGUUAUUGUUUUUUACAACACUGUUGCGGGGUUUUAACUUUUUUGUUGUUGCAUGGAUGUCAUUUUGUGGCAAAUUUUCUGUUCACUAUAUAUGACUUUAUAUGUAAAAAUGGACUUGCAAAUGUGAAUUUCUAUUUACAUGUAACACAUUGCUACAAAAAUAAGUGUACUGUAUACAUACAAAUGUGCAUAUCCUUUUUCUGUGUACUACAGUAUUGUCUUUCCCCAGUAAACUUUGACCUACUGUUGAAAUCGGUAUCUAAAAAGCUCAGUGUGAUACACAAUAGCAUUCCGCUAGACCAAAACGGACAUUCUUGCAUAGUACAGUAAGCAGUCAGUGUCAGCAAAAAAAGUAGACCAGAACUGCCAUUUGUAUAUAACAAACAUUUCCAGGGUUGACUGCCAUGGUGAAAAAACAUCUAAACAUUUUCACCAAUACGGCUCACACGAUGACAAACGUUUCAUUUUGGUGGCGUUGGCCAAUUUACUGACACAAUAACUAGGUUUUGAAGCGUGAAUUAAAUGUUUUGGGUGAGUUACUACA